CCUCGCUCUCGGACCUACCGUCUGGAAAGUCCCGUGUGUAAAGUACACAUUAACAACGCUGCAAUAAGUUAUGUGGCGUUUUAUUCCUCGAAAACUGACUUUAUACGACAUGCAUCAUUAAUUUGGCAUGAAACUGAGUUCUCCAAGUUGAAGCUGAGGGUAGGCUGAUGUGUGGCGAUGGCGACAGGUGGACAGGAAGUCAGCGGGUGCGAGGAGAGUCCCGAAGACUCGAACCCGUGCGCGGAAGUGCUACGUGACCAGAGGGAAGAGCUUGUCCAAAGGAUCGAUCCUGGCGUGUUGGUGCCCCGCUUACAAGACAUCUUGACGUCUGAUGAGGAAAAACAACUUCUCGAUGCAUCGGAGACGGAGAAGAGGGCGGGUGGUUCUGGAGAAAACCAUGUCAAAGUUGAGGUAUUGCAUACAAUCGUCCGCUUCGCCUCAUCGAAUCCAACCGUCUUUCACGGUCUGACAAAGGUUCUUCGACAACCAGAAAUCGGUCUUGGCGAUGUCGCUACUAGACUGGAAAGUGACUUCAACAGACGACAACAAGCCCAGGCCAGCGGGCGAAAUAUGCCGGACUCCAGCAACCAGGCUCCCGAACACGGGGGUGGUACUACAGCUUCACCGAUCACACUUCAGGUCAUCAACAAUUACCACACCACAGUGAAGACUACUAACGUCAGUGUCAGUGGCAGCAAAAACGUCGUGGUGGGGGAUCAAAACUCCAUGCAGGUAUCCGAGGGUACAAUACCUGACAUGGAUGAAGACUACACGGCAGAGGAACAGGACUAUACGGCGGAGAAGGAGUGCCAGGACAGAGGGUACUCGGGCCAACCAGGAGACACCAGGGUGGGGCAGGUCGACGAUGACGUCAUCAUCAUGGAACAGUAUGAAGAAGAAGAUGAAGUGACCGAACAUAAACGCGUCGUAAGUACAGCUGCGGGAGACUGGACUGAGCCGAAGCGUGUGGACAGUGGAGAAGACUGGGGUACUAGCCCCAAGGAACCGCGCGGCGCUGAUCGCACACGGGAGAAAACACUUACCGUGGAAGGCCUGGACAGGGACACCGGGAAAGUACCUAAAGGAAAACAAGGGACUGGACAAACAGACGACUGCACUGAUCCAAAGGAACUGCGAUCUGAGCUUGACACAGAUGUGGUUGCAGACUGCGCACCCGCGGCUUCAUCGAGAGCUGCUACAAAUGAAACGAGGGAGAGCCGACACGAAACGUUGACUCUGCGUAACUACCAAAAGGAGUUGGCAGAACCAGCGAUCCAAGGGAAGAACACCAUCGUGUGCGCUCCAACCGGCAGUGGUAAGACUCAUGUCGCCAUGUCCAUCAUCAAACAGCACCUGGACAAGCGCCUCUUCUUUCAGCGUGACGCCCAAAAGGUCAACGUUGCGAAAGUCCUGGUCCUCACGCCAGAAGUCACCAUCUUGGACCAGCACUACAGGACCUUCUGCAGGUACCUGCCGCUCUUCCGCACAGGCAAGCGCAGCGGGUCGUACGUGACAAAAAGGCCGUUUGAGGAUGUCGUGGAGUCCAAUGACAUCACCGUGGCAACUCCAGAAAUCCUGCUGAAUGCGCUCCGCGACAAGACUGUGAACAUCACAGACUUUUCCCUCAUCGUGUUCGACGAGUGCCACCACACUAGGAAGGAUGCCCCCUACAACAAGAUCAUGGCGGAGUAUCUGAAGAUCAAGCUACACGACCCCCAGGCAAGCCUUCCUCAGAUAGUUGGCCUGUCCGCGAGUCCAGGCGCAGGAGGAAAGCCAGAUCUUCCAGGUGCUGAAAAGCACCUGGAGGUCCUCAUCGCUAGCUUGGAUGCAGCGGUCUUCAAAACGGUGGAGGAUCCAGAGAACAUCAAAGAGUUGGAGGAGAAGGUGAACACGCCGAGCAAGCACACACUGGUAACCGGCUCCCGGCCAGACGACCCCUUCAGGGACAUAGUGGAGGGGAUGAUGAAAGCGAUCGAGGAUCAGCUGCCGCGGGACCUACAGCUACAGUACGGCGGGCUGAGGGGAGUACAGGAGUACCAGUCUGCUGUGGACCUGGUGAAGAAGCAGGCAACAGAGGAGAGGAACACGGAUGUGGUACAACAGUGUGACCAUCUGCUGAAUUACAACAAGGCCUUACAGAUGAACAACACAGCACGUAUGAAGGAUGCUAUGGGCAUCCUGACAGAUUUCUAUGAUGAGCUGAAAGGAAGGCACAGGAUUUCAGCUGCGGAAAAGAAACUGCUCGAUCGCUUCAAUGCAAAAAGAAAGCAACUUCUUGAAGUCAGCCAGGAGGAGGAGAAUUACCCCAACCCAAAACUUGUGGAACUGGAGAAGGAAAUUCUGAAGACCAGAGUAGAGUUUGAGGAUGAAUUGAGAGGCAUUCUCUUCGUGAAGACCCGUGCCCUGACCCAGGCCAUGACCAGCUGGGUGCGGGAGACACCUGCAAUCAGGUUCCUGAACCCCGGGGUCCUGACGGGAUCGUCCGGAGAGGACGUCGGCAGACUGACACACGGCCAGCAGGUCGGCGUCAUCAAGAAGUUCAACGAUGGGGUCCACAAGCUGCUCAUCGCCACAAGUAUAGCUGAGGAAGGUCUGGACAUCCGGGACUGCAACAUGGUCAUCAAGUACAACUAUGCAACCAAUGAGAUCGCCAUGGUCCAGGCACGCGGACGCGCACGCGCGGCAGAGGGGAAGGAGCUUGUGAUUGCUGACCUGCAUAUUGCUGAGAAAGACAGGGUGAACGCCCUUACAGUGGGAGUUUCCGAGAAGGCCAUUAAGAAUAUCCAACGUCAACUACACAGCGGCGACCUCCAGCAGAAAGUCAGGAAACUGCAGCUAGACAUGGUUAAAGAUAGGGAAGAAAAGGGAAAGCAACAGGAGAUUAAAAAGGGGAUGUAUAGGGCUUCUGAAAUAAAGCUUUGCUGCAAGGGGUGCCCUGAGGACGAAAUGAUCUGUUUCGGGAGCGAGUUGAGGUUGUUAGAUCGUCACAACCAUAUCUACCCCUCUCGCCAAUGGGAUAAAGUAGAGUUCAGGGAGCACACUGACAAAAAGAAGAAAGAUUUGGGGAUCCACAAAGUCUACUGCCAGAAAUGUGGUUUCGACUUUGGCAACACCUACAAGGGUUAUCCCUGCCUGAAAAUUGCCAGCUUUAACAUCUUCCUUCCCGGUGGGGAUAUGGUUACUAAGAAGAAGUGGAAAGACGUACCGUUUGAACUGGACGAUAUGUCGGUCGUCUAAACUUGUCAUGGGUGUUAUACGCUAUAUAAUACAGCACACUUGUGAUAGAUCUGUUUUCUUCGGAAACCAUCUAUUGGAGUUUCUCACCUUCCAAAUUCUUUUACUGGUCGCAUAUGACCUUUUAUGGAGAUAUUCAAAUCAACCAAUUAUGCUACUUGUAUUAAGAAACAUCUUGGUACUGAUUCAAUUUAAUCAUUCAUUUUGCUGGAUGUAUUGACUAUUCAUUGACAUGUUUUGGUGUAUAAAAUCAUAGGUUUUUAAAAGAAACGAUUGUACUUAACAGCAAGGUAAUAUGUCCCGAAGGAUCAAUUUGAUACCAAAUGAGAUUACUAAUAAGUCACCUAGUCUCACGAAUGUACAUGCGGUUUGACUGCUCCUCAAAUAAAGUCGUCGAAUGUUGUUUGUUCUGUAAAUUUGCGUAAACCAGAUGGAGAUCUUAACAUUUCUGGCAUGAAAGUGCUCUGAGCAUAUAUUGAGUUGAUAAUACUACUUUACAGGUUGUAAACAAAUCCGUGGAAAACAUUAAAAUCCUUUCUGGGUCCAAGUGACUCCCAAAAGGGCUGAUUGA
RNA transcript from Branchiostoma belcheri (Belcher's lancelet), 3805 nucleotides. It is a transcript of the gene named probable ATP-dependent RNA helicase DHX58, with no coding region annotated. The transcript is spliced from 12 exons. The record is from RefSeq and is a predicted model, not a curated record. NCBI's taxonomy places the organism in Eukaryota, Metazoa, Chordata, Leptocardii, Amphioxiformes, Branchiostomatidae.